UACGUAGGGAGCGAGCGUUAUCCGGAUUUAUUGGGCGUAAAGCGUGUGUAGGCGGUUAAUUAAGUCUAAAAUCAAAGCCUGGGGCUCAACCUCAGUUCGUUUUAGAAACUGGUUAGCUUGAGUAUAGUAGAGGCAAGUGGAAUUUCUAGUGUAGCGGUAAAAUGUGUAGAUAUUAGAAGGAACAUCAGUGGCGAAGGCGACUUGCUGGGCUAUUACUGACGCUGAGGCACGAAAGCGUGGGGAGCAAAUAGGAUUAGAUACCC
Molecule: ribosomal RNA, 263 nt
Filed under: uncultured bacterium
Lineage: Bacteria
Description: partial 16S ribosomal RNA
Rfam family: Bacterial small subunit ribosomal RNA
Source: RNAcentral